GUGCACCAGGCGAGAAACCUCCGCAAUACACGAAAGUGUGACGGGCCAUCCCGAGUGCCGUCCGCUGAGGACGGCUUUUCCCCAGUGUACAUAGCUGGGGGAAUAAGGAGAGGGCAAGCCUGGUGUCAGCCGCCGCGGUAAUACCAGCUCUCCGAGUGGUGGGGACGCUUAUUGGGCCUAAAGCAUCCGUAGCCGGCUGGGCAAGUCCUCCGUUAAAUCCAACGAUUCAAUCGUUGGGCUGCGGGGGAUACUGUCCAGCUUGGGGCGGGAGAGGCCGACGGUAUUCCCGGGGUAGGGGUGAAAUCCUAUAAUCCCGGGAGGACCACCAGUGGCGAAGGCUGUCGGCUAGAACGCGCCCGACGGUGAGGGAUGAAAGCUGGGGGAGCGAACCGGAUUAGGAUACCCGUGUAGU
Molecule: ribosomal RNA, 412 nt
Filed under: uncultured microorganism
Description: bacterial SSU rRNA
Rfam family: Archaeal small subunit ribosomal RNA
Source: RNAcentral